RNAcentral lists this long non-coding RNA (2328 nucleotides) under Musa acuminata (dwarf banana). RNAcentral describes it as "long non-coding RNA (MACU_LNC009899)". Lineage: Eukaryota; Viridiplantae; Streptophyta; Magnoliopsida; Zingiberales; Musaceae. The record is from RNAcentral.
UCGGACGAAGCGUCGAGGGACCAAUGACAUGUCGGACAACUUGGUUAAUUGCUUAGGAUUAAUUGUCUCGAUCGAAGUUUUGUUUUGUUGUGCAGGAUUAACUACGAUAAGAGUAAGACAAGCAGCCAGGAGUUGCGCCGGAGUCAAGAUCAUGAUCACGUUGGGAGUUCGAGAGUUCGACGGAAGUUCGGACGGUCGUCGGAGGUUCAGAGAGAACAGAUCCGAGAAGUCCAGAAGCUUGCCAAGCGAAGCUCGUCGGAACUCGCCAAGUGGAUCGUCGCAAAGUCCAGGAGUAUGCCGGAUGUCCGCAGAAGGAUCACCGAAGGUUAUCGGUUGAUCGACGGAAGUUGGCCGGAAACUCGCCGGAAGAAGCGAUUGACGCAUCGGAGCAAAGCUGCAGAAGUUGUCUUAGAGAUAUUCGUAGUUAGCACGAUGAUUAAGCAUGAAAAUGGGAGGUGAUCCCAUUAGCUUAAUCUUGGGGCAAUUGGGCCCCUGAAAAGAUUCAAAGUGGGUCGAAUGGAGUGAACCAUUCGGACCCUGAUUGCACCAGGAGGUGCAACCGCCCCAGCCAGGAGGUGCAACCGCCUGGGCUGUGGGGUUGAGAGGUGCAACCGCCCCAGCCAGGAGGUGCAACCGCCAGGGUUGCAAGGCUGGGAGGUGCAACCGCCCCAGCCAGGAGGUGCAACCGCCAGGGUUGCAAGGCUGGGAGGUGCAACCGCUCCAGCCAAGAGGUUGCACCGCCAGAGCUCAAGUUCCGAGCUCUGCCAGGCGAUGCAACCACCGAGCUCAGUCUUCGAGCUCUGGCAGAGUGGUGCAUCAGCCUGAGCUCAGUCUCGAGCUUUGCCAGGUGAUGCAUUCACCAAGCUCAGUCUUCGAGCUCUGGCAGAAUGGUGCAUCAGCUUGAGCUCAGUUUGGAGCUCUGCCAAGUGAUGCAACCACCAAGCUCAGUCUUCGAGCUCUGCCAGGCGAUGCAACCAUCGAGCUCAGUCUUCGAGCUCUGGCAGAGAGAAGCAAUCGGCAGAGCUCAGUCUUCGAGCUCUGCCAGGCGGUGCCACCUCUCCAGUCGAGAGGUGCAACCGCCUGAUCCCAGAAUUCUGGGAUUUGAUCGAUUUGAUCGUUUUGAGCUCGAAUUUUGAAUUGGGUUGGGGCCUAUAAAUACCCCACCCAUUCAGCACUGAAAAGAUAACAGACCAAUACCGAAAUAUUGAUCUUUUCUGUGAUUCUAAGAGCUCAAAAGUGUUGUAAAGUCUUUAAGUCUCCUCCUUCUGUUCUUCAAGUUUUUGAUUGUAAAGUGAGGAGAGAAAGGUCUGUAAAGGUUGUCUCCUGAGCCUGUCAAAAGGAGAGAAACUGUAAAAGGGCAGUUAGCCUUCACCCAUUGAAGGAAGGCCCCUAGUUGACGUCGGCAACCUCGUCGGUGGAGGAAGCCAAAAGUGGAGUAGGUCAAGGCUGACCGAACCACUCUAAAUCUCUGGUUUGCGUUUAUUUUCGAGCACUUUAUCAUUACUGCAAACCUCCUUCAUUGCUACUGCUCUCUGCGCUUUCACGAACAAAUUCUAAGUGCUGUUCUUCCAAAUCUGCAUUCAGACGUAAAUUCGUAUUUUCGUACAUUACAGUUUACGUUUACGUUUGAUUCUGCAGAACUGUCUUCCGUGCUUUUACGAACGAGUUUCUUUGCAGUUUACGCUUACAUUUUAAUCCUAUUAAUAACUGCAAUCUGUCCUCUAUGAUCUUACGAACGAGUUUCAACAUUUAGACGCAAAACUGCAUUCAGACGUAAAUCGGCUUUUCUCGCUCAAUCGUCAGAUUUCAGUUCACGUUUACGUCUUGAUUUCAACUGCAUACUGCCUUCUGCGAGUAUACAAACAAGUUUCAAAGUUUAGACGUAAAUCUGCGUUUAGACGUAAAUCUGCGUUUAGACGUAAAACUACGUUUAGACGUAAAUCUGCGUUUAGACGUAAAACUGCGUUUAGACGUAAAACUGCGUUUAGACGUAAAACUGCGUUUAGACGUAAAUCUGCGUUUAGACGUAAAUCUGCGUUUAGACGUAAAUCUGCGUUUAGACGUAAAUCUGAGUUUAGACGCAAAACUGCACUUAGACGCAAAACUGCGCUUAGAUGCAAAACUGCGCUUAGAUGCAAAACUGCGCUUAGACGCAAAACUGCGCUUAAACGCAAUCUGCGCUUAGACGCAAACUGCACUUAGAUACAAACUGAGAAUUUGCUUUUGCAUCAUAAUAGUUUUUGAACGAACGCAGCUUUUGGUUCUUAAUCGCUGUAAGAUUUCCGCUGCACUAAUUCACCCCCCCCCCUCUUAGUGCUCUCGAUCCUA